AUCUUUCUAGUACAACUUAGUAUAAGUGACUUCCAAUCACCCGGCCUUGGUUAAAAUCCAAGGAAAGAUA
RNAcentral lists this transfer RNA (70 nucleotides) under Elassoma zonatum (banded pygmy sunfish). RNAcentral's name for it is "tRNA-Gly". It matches the Rfam family "tRNA". Rfam says of the family: Transfer RNA (tRNA) molecules are approximately 80 nucleotides in length. Their secondary structure includes four short double-helical elements and three loops (D, anti-codon, and T loops). The record is from RNAcentral. RNAcentral also lists the same sequence under 1 other name. Lineage: Eukaryota; Metazoa; Chordata; Actinopteri; Centrarchiformes; Elassomatidae.